UACGGGGGGAGCAAGCGUUGUUCGGAUUUACUGGGCGUAAAGAGCUCGUAGGCGGUUUGUCGCGUCGGCCGUGAAAUCUCCACGCUUAACGUGGAGCGUGCGGUCGAUACGGGCAGACUUGAGUUCGGUAGGGGAGACUGGAAUUCCUGGUGUAGCGGUGAAAUGCGCAGAUAUCAGGAGGAACACCGGUGGCGAAGGCGGGUCUCUGGGCCGAUACUGACGCUGAGGAGCGAAAGCGUGGGAGCGAACAGG
RNAcentral lists this ribosomal RNA (252 nucleotides) under uncultured bacterium. RNAcentral's name for it is "partial 16S ribosomal RNA". It matches the Rfam family "Bacterial small subunit ribosomal RNA", at positions 524 to 776 of the family's 1533-position model. The record is from RNAcentral.